AAUUUUACUCAACCUAAGAGUCCAAGACAAGCUCAAUCAUCUCAUUUGAAAAAUUCAAAUGUUUCCGUUCAGAAUAACGACCAGACUGAAUUGAUUUAAACUGGCAAAAUGCAUUUGGCGCUUUAUUUUUUGCUCUGUUUUGUGUUCUCUGCAGUUACUGAUGCAUCGACCCAACUUGAUCUCUCCCUCUUUCGGGAAGAGUGUCCAUGUUUGAAAGCAUACGACGUGGAGCCUGUGUUUGCGUACUACGCAUAUGAUAUAGACUCAUGCGUUGUGUAUUGUAUAGGAGUUCAAGCUUGCGAGGCUGUCAACUAUUGCAGUGGGACGAAAUUGUGCAAAGGAUAUAGUAAAUUUGGCGUGGGUUAUGAGCCCGAGGCAAUCAACAACCUGGACUGUGCCGGCUUCCCUUCCGUAUCUUCCACUUCUUCCGAGAAGUGGUACUGGGUCAAAGAGGUCAUUGACGGGGAAACCACUGACUGCCAGAUAGAACACGACAGACUGGGCCAAACACCUUCAUCGAAUGACUACACAAUUCAAGUACGAGGGUACCCGCUGCAAGUAUUUUGCGAAUGGGGCCAAAAUGGAGAACCCACCAAAACUUAUAUGAAUUUCGCAUCUGCAUAUACCACAAUUUCUCACUGGGGUGGCAGCAGCUACGGAAAUUUUGGCCCGACCGGGUAUUCAAGAAGGACUUUUCAAAAAGCGAAGCUGUUA
Symsagittifera roscoffensis is the source of this 714-nucleotide long non-coding RNA. RefSeq lists it as uncharacterized. The record is from RefSeq and is a predicted model, not a curated record. The transcript has 3 exons. Lineage: Eukaryota; Metazoa; Xenacoelomorpha; Acoela; Convolutidae.